CUUAUCUUCUUCUCCCUUGCAUUUUCGAAGCUUCUCGACUGCUCAUAUAAAAUUUUCCAAUUCGAAAUUUGGGCUAGGGUUUCCAAAGCUUGAACGUAGUAGGCCAUUUUCAAUGAAACAGGUAGCUCGAAGCUUAGCUUAGGGUUUCGCUUCUCUGUGACGGCCGGUCGGCCGGUGCGGUUAAGGUUUUUGAAUGGCGGCGGCUGCAAAUCCACAGCCACUGCAGGCGCGUCCUUAUGAAGAACACUUGCGAGCGCCGAUACAGAUUGAGGACGAAGACGGUGGAGAGUACGAGGACGGUGACGCUAUGGAUGACGUCGAUGAGGCGCACAUGAAUUCCGGUGUGAACGUGGCAGAGCAUCGCGGCGGAGUUGGAGGUGGAGCUGGUGUGGUUAUGGCGUCGAGGACAAGUGAACUUACUCUCUCUUUUGAAGGAGAGGUGUAUGUUUUCCCUGCUGUUACCCCUGAGAAGGUGCAAGCAGUGCUCUUGCUUCUGGGUGGACGAGACAUUCCCACUGCUGUACCUGCUAUUGAAGUACCCUUUGAUCAAAAUAACAGGGGCGUAGGUGACACACCAAAGCAUUCAAAUCUUUCACGAAGAAUAGCCUCCC
RNAcentral lists this unclassified non-coding RNA (611 nucleotides) under Hevea brasiliensis (rubber tree). Lineage: Eukaryota; Viridiplantae; Streptophyta; Magnoliopsida; Malpighiales; Euphorbiaceae. The record is from RNAcentral.